RNAcentral lists this ribosomal RNA (448 nucleotides) under uncultured bacterium. Its description in RNAcentral is "bacterial SSU rRNA". It matches the Rfam family "Bacterial small subunit ribosomal RNA", at positions 355 to 825 of the family's 1533-position model. The record is from RNAcentral.
UCGGGAAUUUUGGGCAAUGGGCGAAAGCCUGACCCAGCAACGCCGCGUGAAGGAUGAAGUAUUUCGGUAUGUAAACUUCGAAAGAAUAGGAAGAAUAAAUGACGGUACUAUUUAUAAGGUCCGGCUAACUACGUGCCAGCAGCCGCGGUAAUACGUAGGGACCAAGCGUUGUUCGGAUUUACUGGGCGUAAAGGGCGCGUAGGCGGCAAUUCAAGUCAUCUGUGAAAUCUCCGGGCUUAACUCGGAACGGUCAGAUGAUACUGCUUUGCUAGAGUGCAGAAGGGGCAAUCGGAAUUCUUGGUGUAGCGGUGAAAUGCGUAGAUAUCAAGAGGAACACCUGAGGUGAAGACGGGUUGCUGGGCUGACACUGACGCUGAGGCGCGAAAGCCAGGGGAGCAAACGGGGAUUAGAUACCCCAGUAGUCCCUGAGCGGGCUGGCAAGGCGCAU